RNAcentral lists this unclassified non-coding RNA (391 nucleotides) under soil metagenome. Its description in RNAcentral is "partial contains 5.8S ribosomal RNA, internal transcribed spacer 2, and large subunit ribosomal RNA". The stretch from base 1 to 122 matches the Rfam family "5.8S ribosomal RNA", at positions 35 to 154 of the family's 154-position model. The record is from RNAcentral.
GAUGAAGAACGUAGCGAAAUGCGAUACUUGGUGUGAAUUGCAGAAUCCCGUGAACCAUCGAGUCUUUGAACGCAAGUUGCGCCCGAAGCCAUUAGGCCGAGGGCACGCCUGCCUGGGCGUCACACGUCGUUGCCCCCCCAUCUACUCCUUCGGGAUUGCGGGGGGCGGAUGAUGGCCUCCCGUGCGCCUCGCCGCGCGGUUGGCAUAAAUGCCAAGUCCUCGGCGACGCACGCCACGACAAUCGGUGGUUGCGAAACCUCGGUUGCCCGUCGUUUGCGGUCGUCGCGCAUCGAGGGCUCGAAAAAAUUGCCGGGUUCCGGCUCGGCUUUCAACGCGACCCCAGGUCAGGCGGGGUUACCCGCUGAAUUUAAGCAUAUCAAUAAGCGGAGGA